Paramuricea clavata is the source of this 73-nucleotide non-coding RNA. The record is from the annotation of a GenBank genome assembly. Lineage: Eukaryota; Metazoa; Cnidaria; Anthozoa; Malacalcyonacea; Plexauridae.
GACCACGUAGCUCAGUUGGCAGAGCAUUGGACUAGUAUCCCAAAGGUCGCGGGUUCGUUUCCCACCGUGGCCA